This 497-nucleotide ribosomal RNA is filed under the name Clavispora sp. CLIB 1733. RNAcentral describes it as "eukaryotic LSU rRNA". It matches the Rfam family "Eukaryotic large subunit ribosomal RNA", at positions 52 to 561 of the family's 3401-position model. The record is from RNAcentral. Lineage: Eukaryota; Fungi; Ascomycota; Pichiomycetes; Serinales; Metschnikowiaceae.
GGAGGAAAAGAAACCAACCGGGAUUGCCUCAGUAACGGCGAGUGAAGCGGCAAAAGCUCAAAUUUGAAAUCCUGCGGGAGUUGUAAUUUGAAGGUUUCGGGUUCAGAGGCUGUGUGCGCCCAAGUCCAUUGGAACAUGGCGCCUGGGAGGGUGAGAGCCCCGUCCGGCGCGGCACAGUUCUCGUUGCGGCCUGAUUCCGACGAGUCGAGUUGUUUGGGAAUGCAGCUCAAAGUGGGUGGUAAAUUCCAUCUAAAGCUAAAUAUUGGCGAGAGACCGAUAGCGAACAAGUACAGUGAUGGAAAGAUGAAAAGCACUUUGAAAAGAGAGUGAAACAGUACGUGAAAUUGUUGAAAGGGAAGGGCUUGCAAGCAGACACGGUUUCGGCCGGGCCAGCAUCGGUUUGCUGGGGCGGAUAAUGCGGCGGGAAUGUGGCACGCGCCCUCUUGGCGUGUGUGUUAUAGCCCGACGAGAUACGCCCAUGGCAGACCGAGGCCUGC